RNAcentral lists this long non-coding RNA (5766 nucleotides) under Olea europaea subsp. europaea. The record is from RNAcentral. Lineage: Eukaryota; Viridiplantae; Streptophyta; Magnoliopsida; Lamiales; Oleaceae.
AUUCACAUAAUCAUAAUCACUAAUAUUAAAUAGAAAAAUCACAUGAUUAAGAAACUUUUUGCUGCAAAUUUGAGGGCCCAAGGAAACGUGAGUUUUAAGAAAAAAAUGAACUUUAAAAAUAUUUCAAAGCAAUGAUAGAUUAAAGAAAAUUUUUUAAUUUCUUGUCAAGGGAAAAGAGUUAGAAAAUGUCACCGUGCACUUGGAGUCGGAGUAAAUUAGUGUAUCGAUUGGACUAUAAAUAAAAGUAAAACCCAAUACUUAAAAAGACAAAAAAAAACAAAUAAAAAAUUGGAGUCCAGUGCGGGCAUUUGCCCGCACUGGACACUGAGUGGCUCCGCCACUAUUUGGGUGUGAUCCGAAUUCUUUGAUGAAAAUAAUUGAGAGUUCUAAUUAAAGUACAAAUUAAGAAGAAUUCUAUUUUCAAUGCUUUUAAAAUCCUAUUCGAAGUUUAUUGGCAAAUUCUAAUUGAAAUUCUAUUUGGAACCCCUAUUGGGAGUUGAAAUUUGUGUUGACUUAAAGAGAUCAAAAUAAGAAAACUUUUGGGUAUUCUAUUUAUUUAUAACUCUACUUCUAGGGCUUGAAUUAUUCCCUAUAAAUAGUAUACUCUUCAUUCGGUUUAUGUAAUUGCUAAAAUUGUAUUUUUUUCUUCAUUGGUUGUCAAUUAAUAAAAAUUACUCGGUUCCUCGACUAAUCUCUUUUCUUGCUUUAAUAUUAUUCUUCCUUGUGCGACAAUACUUCAUAUUGUGCAACACUUGACUCUGUGUUUCCAACAAGUGGUAUCAAAGCUAUUGAUUGUUAUUUUGUUUGAGGUUUUCUAUUAUCGAUGGAAACCAUAAAGUAUGAAAUUUCGCUUUUGAAUUUCAGUAUAAGAUUUUCAUUGUAGCAAGUAAAUAUGCGAGCUAUAUUGAGACAGAUGGAUUUGGAUGAUGCGUUGUUAGGGUUUGACAAAAUGCCCACAACUUGGACAACAGAGGAGAAACAAUGGGAGGAUCGGAAGACACUUUCACAGAUUUAUCCUCAUCUCUCUAACAAUAUUCUUUAGAACAUUUUGAAGGAGAAGACAGUAGCUAUGUUGUGGUUUAGGGCUGGAGCAAUUGUGCAUGAUGAGCAAAUUGAAUCUCAAGCAGAGGUUAUAUUCUUAUCGCAUGGUAGAAGACGGAUCUUAGAGGACCAUCUGGCCAUGUUCAAGGAGAUUGUCACUGAUCUGGAAAUGUUAGAGGUAAAAUAUGAAGAAGAUGACCUAGCCUUGAUCAUGUUUUGCUCACUGCCUGCUUCAUUUUCAUCGUUCAGAGACACGAUUCUGUGUAAUGUGAUACACUUACCGUUGAAGACGUAUAUGAUACUUUGUUCUCAAAUGAGAAGAUGAAGCAUCUGAUCAGAGCUAAGUCCAGAGGUGAAGAAGCUUUUGUGAUUUAUGGUGAUUGACGAGGGGUAAGUCGACGGUGAAUUUCAGUAAUCAAGUUCGUUUCUAUUGCAAGAAGAAAGGACACAUUAAGAGAAAUUGUGAGAAAUUACAGAAUAAAGAUACUUUGGCCGCAAAUCAUGGGAAACAAUCGAGCACUUCGGACGAGACCAACAUAGUUGAGGACUAUUUGAGUGAUGGAGAUGUAUCGACGGUUUCUGACUUGGAAUCCAAACCCGACGAGGAGUGGAUUUUGGAUAUUACUUGUGCAUUUCAUAUGUGUUCUAAUUUAGAUUUGUUUGAAGUAUAUGAAAUGCUGACGCAACGUGUCCUUGUCAUGGGAAACAGUGAACUUUGUCAAGUAGCUUGUAUUGGUAGGGUCAGAUUGAAGUUGAUGGAUGGGACAAUUAGAACACUUGGCCAGGUUUGACAUGUUCCAGAUUUGAAGAAGAAUCUCAUCUCAUCGAGUACCUUGAUUCGAAAGGUUUUGAGUUCUCCAAAAGAGAUGAAGUCUUGAGGAUCCGGAAGGGUGUCCGUAUUGUAUUGGAGGGACAGAUGAGGUCCCAAUUGUACAUCUUGCAUGGUUAGACAAAAUCGGUGAAAAAAGUCAGCACAGGUUUAGUAUCGUAGUGGAGAUUCAGUUUGGUAUGGUACCUUUGGAAUUUGGCUCCGUAUCCAUAUUGAAGAAUACUACUUAGUUGAUUGUGGAAGAUAUGGGUAAUUCCUUUUUGCCACUAUUGUCCACGGUUCUAUCGUAUUCAAGUGCUAGGAAUAGACCUAUUGGAGAUAGGGACGAGAUUGUUGAUUUUGUUGCGCAUACUUUUGGGACUUUUGAAGGUGUCGAGACUGGCAAGGAGCCUUCAGUUAUUGCGUUUAGAGUUGAUUUUACUACAGGGUAUGCGGUUUUCGAGGUAGCUUGUGAUGCAUCACAUGUAGGUAUAGGGGGCAUUCUCAGUCAAGAGGGUCAUCCAAUUGCAUUCUUCAGUGAAAAGCUUAGUGAGGUGCAGCGUCGAUAUUCAGCUUAUGAUAUGGAAUUCUGUGCUCUGGUUCAAACACUUAAACAUUGGCAUCCCUAUUUACUACACAAGGAGUUCAUCCUUUUACAGAUCAUGAUGCCUUGAAAGAUCUUCAUUCACGAAAUAAGAUGAGUGCCAAACAUGCCAGGUGGAUGGAUUUUCUACAACAAUUCGACUUUGUCAUUCGCCACAAGUCAGGGGCUGAAAAUAAGGUGGCUGACUCACUCAGUCGCCGUCGGCAUUUGUUAGCUUUACUUUCGGCUAAUUUUGUGGGAUUUCAAUCUCUUAAGUCCCAGUAUAAAGAUGAUGGGGAUUUUGGCCCGGUGCAGAAGGCGUUACAUCCCAGCUUUGUUGCAAGUAAUGUGGAUGGUUCCCAAAUAGGUGCUACAGAAACAGGUACUGAAGAUACAAAUGCUACUAAAGUGGAAGAUUAUGUCAUUAAAGAAGGGGCUUCUUUUUUUUAAGCCACGAUUAUGUAUACCAGGUAUAUUUCCGUGAUUUUCUUAUUGAAGAGUUGCAUGGAGGGGGGCUGGCUGGCCAUUUUGGGCACUCCAAAACGUACGACCUGGUUGCUGAUCGAUUUUUUGCCCUCAUUUAAGGCGUGAUGUGCGUUGAGUUGUUGAUCAUUGUUGAGUUUGCCAACUCAACAAAGGUGGUAAGCAAAACACAGGACUUUAUAGGCCUCUAUCCAUUCCAAGCAAAUCGUGGCAAGACCUUAGUAUGGAUUUUGUUUACAGUGCGACGCAAUGAUUCUAUCAUGGUUGUGGUGGACCGUUUUUCGUAAAUGUCCCACUUUAUUCCUUGCAAAAGGACAUUUGAUGUUACAAGGGUCACAAUGUUAUUUUUACAGGAGAUAGUAAGGCUACAUGGGGUUCCUUCUACUAUAGUUUCUAACAAGGAUGUGAAAUUCAUGAGUUAUUUUUGGAAGAUACUCCGGGCAAAAAUGGGUACUAAUUAUUAUAUUCUAGUGUUUUCCAUCCACAGACAGACAGGCAAACGGAAGUGACGAACCGGAGUGUGGGAAAUCUUCUUCAAUGCCUUAUAGCUGAUCAUGUCACUUGCUGGGAUUUAAUUUUUCCCCAAGCUGAAUUUACAUUUAAUAAUUCAGUUAACAGGUCUACUGAGUGUACCCCCUUUGAAGUAGUGCAGGGGUUUCGUCCUCAGGCUCCAAUUAAUUUAAGUCCUCUACCAUUACCUGCUCGGCUCAGUGACGCAGCUAUGGACUUUGCUCAUUAUAUGUAGGAUACACACGAAGAAGUCAGACGACGUCUUACUCAUAGUUCUUAGCAGUAUGCUAAUGCAGCCAACACCCAUCAUCGAGAGAAGCAGUUUGCCAUUGACGAUCUUGUUCUUAUUCGACUAAGGCCUGAACGUAUUCCUCCAGGGAGUUAUGGCAAUCUCCAUGCACGUAAGGCUAGUCCCUUUCGUAUACUUGAGAAAUUGGGAUCAAAUGCUUAGGUUGUUGAGUUGCCCUCCUACUAUAACAUUAGUCCCAUUUUUAAUGUUGAAGAUCUUAUAGAAUUCAAGGGUGAGCUAAAUGACAGUGUUUCUGCGAGUAAUUCAACGGGUGAUGCACGCAUUCCUAGUGUCUCUAAACCGCGAGAAAAAAUAGACGCAAUAUCUAACCAUCAAUUUGUUACUACUCGUCCUGGGGGCUAUUACAAAUUUUUAGCCCAUUGGAAGAACAAGCCACGUUCAGAAUUUGUUUGGCUUCAAGGGGAUGAAUUACGACGCCUCGAUGCUACGUUAUUUGAGUCCUAUCUCCAAGCCCACUUGCCGGAGACAAGUCUGUUAGGAGGGGAGGGAAUUGAUGUGAAUAAUCAUAUGGAUUAACUUGAAAGUCCUACAGAUUAACUUGAAGACUGUUGCUGUUAGUAUUUUUUUAGUUAUUUUUAGGUUGCUGGAGUCCAAUAUUAGUGAAUAACUUAUUAGUUAAAUAAAUAGACAGGUAGGGGGUCUAUAGUAGUUGGUCGAUUUUCUUUUGUUAUUUGAAGCGUGUUGCUUCAGGGAGAAAGUCCCAACAUUUUUUGCUUCAAUUUCAGUCCCUUUUUUUAUCAGCAAUAAAGUCAUUCUUAGCGUUAUUUCUUAAGUUAUUAACAUCCUUUCAUCACACAGUCGUACACCUCUGGCUUUAUUCAUAUGCAUAAACACUUGAAACACACUUGCCUGCUUGCAAGCAAUGACAUAUUUAAAAUUAGAAAUAAAAUAGACGAAUGCAUUAUACAAGGGUAAAUUAUGCAACUCAAUCACACACCUGAACAACUCUAAGGAGGGCACAAUCUUUUAACUAAGACAAAUGUAUAAGAAGUAUAGCGCUUUUCUCCAUCCAUUUGGGCUUAUCUGAUUCGAGGUAAGAUAGAAUUCGUUGUAGAUUGAGACAAAGAAAUGAUGAAGAAGAAACCUCAUACCUCCAUCAAAACAAUAUUUCUACAUGGCAAUCUCACGAGGAUCUGACCCGAGAAGCUCUUCUUUGGGCUUAGGGGCUCUAUAUAUAUAAUUGUCAAUGGGCGUAUACCUAUCAAGUAAUUGAUCCAACUUGGUUGGAAAAUUAUAAAAACUAGGUUCCUUUGGGAUCAAAGAAUACCACCUUGCCCAUCGGCUCCCAUCCAAUUUCAAAAUUAUAAGUUGGAGACUUGAAAGAGCCAAUAUGAUUUUUAAGGGACCAUAGAACAAAUGCAAAAGGGUUAAACAGAUCAGGAAGACUAUCAAUAGUUCGAGGAGGUCGAUCAACCCUGCCACCUUGGCUAGUUAGCCGACCAGCAAGAGGGCUGGCUUACUGGGCUGGUCAACCGACCCGUCAAUCUAGGCUAGUCGACCGACACAAUCAAUCGACCAAUCGACCAGGUCAACCAAUCGAUCGACCCAAUCGGCCAGCAAGGUCGCUCGACCGCUCGACUAGGCUGGUCGACCUUACUAGUCAGUCGACUAACCGACGAGUUUGGUUGACUGGCCUGGUUGGCUAGCAUGGUCGAUCGACCGACCAACCCGAUCGAUCGACACAUCAUUCUAUGAUACGGUUGGUCCCCCUCCAUUCUCAAUAUCAUAUAUACUUUCACUCCUACUGGAUAUCCGAGAGGAUGAUUUAGAAUGUUCUUGGUCAGAUGAUAUGAGGACAAAAUAACCUUAUGCAUCGAAAAUUUAUGACAAACUACUAGAAUUUCAAGAAAAAUUAGAGUAGAAUACGAUAUUACCUUGAGAAUGAAGACAACGAAAAAAGCGCUUAGGGUUUGGAAAAGAGGAAAAGAUGUAAAGAAAAAAUGGGAUUAGCUUCCCUUUACAUAGAAAAUUCUCACGGAUGACAGAAGUCCAAACCCAUGAGUUGACCUACUUAUAGAUGAUCAUUUUAAC